This is a long non-coding RNA of Hevea brasiliensis (rubber tree), 1000 nucleotides long. RefSeq lists it as uncharacterized. The record is from RefSeq and is a predicted model, not a curated record. The transcript has 5 exons. Lineage: Eukaryota; Viridiplantae; Streptophyta; Magnoliopsida; Malpighiales; Euphorbiaceae.
UAACAGAAUGUCAAGCGGCGUCUUCUCUUGCCUGAAACUGUUCAUUUUCAAGAGCUGAACGCUAUAAAUUAUCACAAGUUCUUCAUCCAGAUUUCUAUCUACUUAUAGCAUCUUUCUCUCCAACUCAUUUUUGUGUUCACAGAGUUUCUUCUUGUGGAAAGCAGGAAAACCAGGCAGGAUUGGUAGAGGAGACUAAACAUUGAAGUAUUUGAUAAGGCAAAAUAACAUGAAUUGGUUGCGAAGGCAGAGUGGCAGCCAAAUGAAGCAAGAUCAAGAUUCCAUUUACAAUGGAUUUACAGCUGCAGUAGCAGCAGCUGCAUUUGCCAUUCAGUCACUUGAAGAAGCUGAAACCUUAAAGAAUAAGAAUUGGAACAAAAAAAAAAAGAUGCCACAGCUAAACUACCGCAUUCAAAUGAAGUGACCAGGAGAUUCUCAUCCAAGAAAACAAAAAAUGGAGGUGAAACCUUCAUGAGACAGCCACUGAAACAGAAUCAUGAGGGACUAGAGAAGACUUAUUCAAAUAGAAAACCAAGUCGUUCGUCCUCCAAUAAACUCAAAGUCCAUGAAGAUACUCGUGGAAAAGCUGAACGCGAACAGAAUGACAAACUGAAAUCACUUCUUGCUUGGGCAAAGGUAAAGAAGACGAAAGUCGAACACAAAAUGGAAUUGAAAAAGGACUAAAUGCAGCAGAGAGUGGGCAAGAGACCUUGCAACUUUAAGCAUAACAUGAUAGAAUAAGCAGCAAUUCCUGCAGAGAGUGGCAUGAGCAAGAACAUAUAUACUUGAAAAGUGAGCUGAGCUGAAAGAGAGUAAUUGGAACUUGGAAGGUAUAGGUAUAUUACAUGAAAGUCUGAAAGCAAUAAAAUGUCUUUGUAUCAGUCAUAGAGGUGUAAUGAUCUGUCUGAUCAAGUUGUAUCAGCACAAAAAUCUCCAGAAUCUACCCAGAAAAAGGUAAAUGAAGUGAACUUUUUUCCCUCUGCCUCUAAUGCAGAAAAGUGAA